UACCAGAGUCUCUAGCCUGAACAUGCCCAGUGUCAUCCCAUCUUGGAAGCUAAGCAGGGUCAGGCUUGGUUAGUACUUAAAUCAGAGACUGCCUGGGAAUGCUAGGUGCUGUGGGCU
RNAcentral lists this ribosomal RNA (117 nucleotides) under Castor canadensis (American beaver). The record is from RNAcentral. Lineage: Eukaryota; Metazoa; Chordata; Mammalia; Rodentia; Castoridae.